This 319-nucleotide ribosomal RNA is filed under the name Novosphingobium umbonatum. RNAcentral's name for it is "bacterial SSU rRNA". It matches the Rfam family "Bacterial small subunit ribosomal RNA", at positions 1 to 347 of the family's 1533-position model. The record is from RNAcentral. Lineage: Bacteria; Pseudomonadati; Pseudomonadota; Alphaproteobacteria; Sphingomonadales; Sphingomonadaceae.
AACUUGAGAGUUUGAUCCUGGCUCAGAACGAACGCUGGCGGCAUGCCUAACACAUGCAAGUCGAACGAAGUCCUUCGGGGCUUAGUGGCGCACGGGUGCGUAACGCGUGGGAAUCUGCCCCUUGCUUCGGAAUAACAGUUAGAAAUGACUGCUAAUACCGGAUGAUGUCGCAAGACCAAAGAUUUAUCGGCAAGGGAUGAGCCCGCGUAGGAUUAGGUAGUUGGUGGGGUAAAGGCCUACCAAGCCGACGAUCCUUAGCUGGUCUGAGAGGAUGAUCAGCCACACUGGGACUGAGACACGGCCCAGACUCCUACGGGAG